Molecule: ribosomal RNA, 1334 nt
Filed under: Aseraggodes sp. SL-97
Lineage: Eukaryota; Metazoa; Chordata; Actinopteri; Pleuronectiformes; Soleidae
Description: 16S ribosomal RNA
Rfam family: Bacterial large subunit ribosomal RNA
Source: RNAcentral
AAAUCAUUUUUUCCCUAAGUAUGGGAGACAGAAAAGGACACACGGAGCUAUAGAAAAAGUACCGCAAGGGAAAGCUGAAAAAGAGAUGAAAUAGAACAGCAACGUACCAAAAAGCAGAGACUAAACCUCGUACCUUUUGCAUCAUGAUCUAGCAAGUUCAAUUAAGCAAAGAGCUCUUUAGUUUAACAUCCCGAAACUGAGUGAGCUACUCCAUGACAGCCUUUAGAAAGGGCAAACCCGAUCUCUGUGGCAAAAGAGUGGGAAGAUCUUUGAGUAGGGGCGAUAAACCUACCGAACUCAGUUUAUAGGCUGGUUGCUUGAAAAAUGAAUAUAAGUUCAGCCCCUUAGCUUCUUAUCUCCUCCCACGUGUGGCAUAAAGAAAAAUAGAAACUAAGAGAGUUAGUCGAAGGGGGUACAGCCCCUUUGAAACAGAUACAACUUUUACAGGAGGGUAAGGAUCAUACUAAUAAAGGGAUAUGUACAACGUAGGCUUUAAAGCAGCCACCACCCACAAAAGCGUAACAGCUUAAACAACAAUCACACCCCCCAAUCUAGAUAAAACCUUCCAAACCCCCUAAUAAUAUCAAGCCGCCCCAUAAAUAUGGGAGAGACCAUGCUAGUAUGAGUAAUAAGAGAAACAUCCCUCUCUCCCAGUACACGUGUAAGCUGGUGUUACAACAAACCAACUAUUAACGGCCGCAAACCAUAGAGCGUAGUGAAGCCUAAAACAGAAUACAAGAAAGGACUUCAGCAAAUAACCGUUAACCCAACACAGGCGUACAAUAAGGGAAAGACUAAAAGGACAAAAAGGAACUCGGCAAAAUAAUUUCUUAGCCUCGCCUGUUUACCAAAAACAUCGCCUCUUGACUAAAUACAUAAGAGGUCCUGCCUGCCCAAUGACAUUACGUUAAAUGGCCGCGGUAUCUUAACCGUGCGAAGGUAGCGCAAUCACUUGUCUUUUAAAUGAAGACCUGUAUGAAUGGCAAGACGAGGGCUUAACUGUCUCCUUUACCCAGUCAAUGAAAUUGAUCUCCCCGUGCAGAAGCGAGGAUAAUAACAUAAGACGAGAAGACCCUGUGGAGCUUUAGACAAAUAACCGCCCAUAUUAAACACCACCCGACAAGGGAAGAGAAAUAAUGAUGUCCGUUACACGUCUUCGGUUGGGGCGACCUUGGGGAAACACAAAACCCCCAAACAGAAGGAAGCACACAACCCACCCCCCACCCCGCUUCCAAAAGCUAGAGACUACAACUCUAACUAACAGAACUUCUGACUUUUCUUGACCCGGCCAUGCCGAUCAAUGAACCAAGUUACCCCAGGGAUAACAGCGCAAU